Long non-coding RNA from Capsella rubella, 297 nucleotides. RefSeq lists it as uncharacterized. Lineage: Eukaryota; Viridiplantae; Streptophyta; Magnoliopsida; Brassicales; Brassicaceae. The record is from RefSeq and is a predicted model, not a curated record. The transcript has 3 exons.
AAAACAAAAAAUCACACCUUAGUUAGUUAGUUAGUUUCGAGAAGCUGGUCGGAUAGAAGUUGGUCGAGUCGAGAGUCAUGGUCGGGUAUCCGAUCCAUCGUUGGAGAAAGCUAGUCAGAUCGAGAUCAAUAGGCGGUCAAGGGUAGAAUGUCGUUCUCUCGACAAUAAGGCAAAGGAAACCUUAGUUGGGAGACUUAUGGGGAAAGCGCGGAUGCUAGAAACCGGUGUAGAGUUUGUUGCCUUUGUAAAAAUAGAUUUGAUGUUAUUGACUCGAUUUGGGCCUUAUGCUCUGGGAUC